GUAUUUGGAAACUAUAUUUCACAAUUUUUUGAUCAAUGAUGGAGCCUUCGAAUCGACGAUCGGCACCGUUGAAUUAUGAUCUAUACCACUUAAAUUAUCUAGAAAUCAAAUUUCAUGCUUUUCCGAUAUUAUUCUCUUGUCCAUCAAGUAGGCGUAAAAAUGAAUGGCUGAAAAUGAAUAUCUUCUAAAAAGUGAUGAUAGAAAUUUUAUAAUCAAGAUCGAGAGUAUAGAUCUUGUUCUAAAUAGUUUAAAGAAUUUUCUAACCAAAAUUCAAUUGAUUUGGAUAGUUUUACACCGUUAAACGUGAAAACACCUCAUAUCUACCAUUAAAAUUAUAAAUUUUGAAACCCUUUGAUCAUUAGGUUAAUAAUAUCGAAAAGAUUUAAAAUUUGGUUUCUAAAUACUUCAAGUGGUAUAGAUUAUAUUCAACGGUGUCAAUCGUCAAUUCGAAGGCUCCAUCAUUGAAAACAAAUGGGUGACAACGGAGCCGGUUUGCUACCAAUAGUAUUUCAGCACAACUCUAUAUAUCUAUACUAUAUAAAAGCACGUAUUUCAAAUUUCGGUCUGUCGACAGACCCAUUUUUUGGCGAGAAAAAAAUUUGAUUCCUCUUUCCUUACGUAAAAUAAAUAAUAGAAUUAAAAAAAACUUUUAUUUCCUCUUUAUUUCUACAACAGAAAAAAAUUUAUACUUAACCAAAUUUUUACCAAUCUGAGAAUAUCUACUGUGAAUUUUUAUUUAAUUCAUUUUUAUCUCUAACUAUAAUGUAAUAUCUAUACUAUCUAGCACGUAUUUCAAAUUUCGAUAUGUCAGCAUACCCUUUUUAGGUGGAAAAAAAAAUUGAUUCCUCUUUCCUUACGUAAAAUAAAUAACAUAAUAAAACAAACUUUUAAUUUAUCUUUACCUCUAAAAUAAAAAAUAUAUAUACUUAUUCAAAUUUU
This 939-nucleotide long non-coding RNA is filed under the name Ananas comosus (pineapple). RNAcentral's name for it is "long non-coding RNA (ACOM_LNC036042)". The record is from RNAcentral. Lineage: Eukaryota; Viridiplantae; Streptophyta; Magnoliopsida; Poales; Bromeliaceae.